UCUGAGUCAAUAACCCCGCAAGACACAAGUGCCUACAUAAGAGUUGAUGGUGAUGGUGUACUGCAUCUGGUGCAGCCUCCUGUUGAGCCAGACCAACAUGCAGUUGAACUUGAAGAAACAUUGACAGCUGUCACAGAGGAGGAAGCAACAGAGACACUUUAUGAGAGUGAUGAUGGAAAUGCAGAGGAAGAGGGUCCAGCCACUUCUCCAACAAACCUUUCCUCACUCCCUGUAAAGCAGCUGUACAAGAAAUAU
Molecule: long non-coding RNA, 255 nt
Organism: Pelmatolapia mariae (spotted tilapia)
Lineage: Eukaryota; Metazoa; Chordata; Actinopteri; Cichliformes; Cichlidae
Exons: 5
Source: RefSeq, a predicted model, not a curated record